AGUGAACGCUGGCGGUAGGCCUAACACAUGCAAGUCGAACGGCAGCACAGUAAGAGCUUGCUCUUACGGGUGGCGAGUGGCGGACGGGUGCGGAAUACAUCGGAAUCUACUUUUUCGUGGGGGAUAACGUGGGGAAACUUAGGCUAAUACCUCAUACGACCUACGGGUGAAAGCAGGGGAUCUUCGGACCUUGCGCGAUUGAAUGAGCCGAUGUCGGAUUAGCUAGUUGGCGGGGUAAAGGCCCACCAAGGCGACGAUCCGUAGCUGGUCUGAGAGGAUGAUCAGCCACACUGGAACUGAGACACGGUCCAGACUCCUACGGGAGGCAGCAGUGGGGAAUAUUGGACAAUGGGCGCAAGCCUGAUCCAGCAAUGCCGCGUGGGUGAAGAAGGCCUUCGGGUUGUAAAGCCCUUUUGUUGGGAAAGAAAAGCAGCAGGUUAAUACCCCGCUGUUCUGACGGUACCCAAAGAAUAAGCACCGGCUAACUUCGUG
Molecule: ribosomal RNA, 492 nt
Filed under: uncultured bacterium
Lineage: Bacteria
Description: partial 16S ribosomal RNA
Rfam family: Bacterial small subunit ribosomal RNA
Source: RNAcentral